RNAcentral lists this ribosomal RNA (938 nucleotides) under Vibrio cholerae. Its description in RNAcentral is "bacterial LSU rRNA". It matches the Rfam family "Bacterial large subunit ribosomal RNA", at positions 1070 to 1995 of the family's 2925-position model. Lineage: Bacteria; Pseudomonadati; Pseudomonadota; Gammaproteobacteria; Vibrionales; Vibrionaceae. The record is from RNAcentral.
ACGAUGUGGGAAGGCUCAGACAGCUAGGAUGUUGGCUUAGAAGCAGCCAUCAUUUAAAGAAAGCGUAAUAGCUCACUAGUCGAGUCGGCCUGCGCGGAAGAUGUAACGGGGCUAAGCAAUACACCGAAGCUGCGGCAAUGUCUUUUAGACAUUGGGUAGGGGAGCGUUCUGUAAGCCGUUGAAGGUGAAUCGUAAGGUUUGCUGGAGGUAUCAGAAGUGCGAAUGCUGACAUGAGUAACGACAAAGGGGGUGAAAAACCUCCUCGCCGGAAGACCAAGGGUUCCUGUCCAACGUUAAUCGGGGCAGGGUGAGUCGACCCCUAAGGUGAGGCCGAAAGGCGUAAUCGAUGGGAAACGGGUUAAUAUUCCCGUACUUCUGACUAUUGCGAUGGGGGGACGGAGAAGGCUAGGUGGGCCAGGCGACGGUUGUCCUGGUUCAAGUGCGUAGGCUUGAGAGUUAGGUAAAUCCGGCUCUCUCUAAGGCUGAGACACGACGUCGAGCUACUACGGUAGUGAAGUCAUUGAUGCCAUGCUUCCAGGAAAAGCCUCUAAGCUUCAGAUAGUCAGGAAUCGUACCCCAAACCGACACAGGUGGUCGGGUAGAGAAUACCAAGGCGCUUGAGAGAACUCGGGUGAAGGAACUAGGCAAAAUGGUACCGUAACUUCGGGAGAAGGUACGCUCUUGAUGGUGAAGUCCCUCGCGGAUGGAGCUGACGAGAGUCGCAGAUACCAGGUGGCUGCAACUGUUUAUUAAAAACACAGCACUGUGCAAAAUCGCAAGAUGACGUAUACGGUGUGACGCCUGCCCGGUGCCGGAAGGUUAAUUGAUGGGGUUAGCGCAAGCGAAGCUCUUGAUCGAAGCCCCGGUAAACGGCGGCCGUAACUAUAACGGUCCUAAGGUAGCGAAAUUCCUUGUCGGGUAAGUUCCGACCUGCACGA